ACUUCGUGGUUGGGACAUUGCAUGAGCUUCCCUUUGAAUCUCUCCCACACCUCGAAUAGAGGUUCUCCAUUCAAUUAUCAAAAAUUGUGAUCUCAUCAUGGAAUU
Molecule: non-coding RNA, 105 nt
Organism: Capsicum annuum
Lineage: Eukaryota; Viridiplantae; Streptophyta; Magnoliopsida; Solanales; Solanaceae
Source: Rfam